This 68-nucleotide transfer RNA is filed under the name Marmota monax (woodchuck). RNAcentral's name for it is "tRNA.Ala". Lineage: Eukaryota; Metazoa; Chordata; Mammalia; Rodentia; Sciuridae. The record is from RNAcentral.
GGAUUAUGGCUCAGUGGUAGAGUGCAUGCUUAGCAUGUGUGAGGCCCUGGGUUCGAUCCUCAAAACCA